RNAcentral lists this long non-coding RNA (3538 nucleotides) under Cinara cedri. Lineage: Eukaryota; Metazoa; Arthropoda; Insecta; Hemiptera; Aphididae. The record is from RNAcentral.
UUUGAUUACAAAAAAAUUAAUAUAUGUGUUAUACAUAAUGUAUUAUAUUUUUUUAGCUAUAUUAGUUUAUAAGUUACGAGGAAAAAAAACUAUAAAGAUUUAUGACACAAUGAGUGACAACGGUUCGGAUAAUUUUUGGCAUUUGUGUUCAUGUAUUACAAUAUACAAUAUUUGAGUUAUGCAUGUAUUAACUAUAUUAUAACAGUGGUUUGAUCAAAAAACUAGUAGGAUUUCAAAUUUAUUUUUACAAUUUUUAACUUUAUGGAAGAAGACUAUAUGUAUUAAUAUUGCUGUAAUAAGAAAGGUAGGUAUUAUUUUAUUUACAAUAUUAUACAAAUUAUAUUUAUUAGUGUAGUAUUUUAAAAACUAUAUAACUUUCAUUGUUUGAUGAAACGUUCGGCACAAUACAUGCUUUAUGUAUAUUAUUUAAUAUGUUAUGUUCUAUCGCUCCUAAAUGGUUUUAUAAAUAUACACAAAUGUUUAUUGAUGAAAUACCAAAACCAUCAGAGUUUCUAAAAAAUUUAUUUUUGGAUUGAAAUCUUAUUCCUAAAAAACUUAUUGUUUUGGACUUUUUACUUUGAACUAAAAUAUUUUCGACAACAAAAAUAAAGUAAUUAUUAUUGUCAUUAUCCAUUACAAUUAUGCAGUCGUCUUGAUGAGUAUAUAAAUUUCGUUUUUUUUGCUUUACUUAUUUGAAAAAUAAAAUAUUCAAAUUUUAUAUGCAUAUAUUAUUCACAGUUCACAUGUUUAUUUAAUAGUGGUCCAUUGUUAUCCUUUUCUUUAAAAACUGGAAAACUGUUGCUAGUUGUCAAAUAUUUUUGUUCCCUUGCUAACCUAUCUUCAAUAAUUCUGUUGUACAAUUCAGUUAUUGCAUAUCUUCUAGAUUUUAAGUACCUUUUUAAUCGGCCUGAAAAUUUUUCAUACCAGAACACAUUAAAUUGAUUAAUGUUUCCAUUUCUUAAUACAUCAUUGAAAAGGUGAAGUAAUGAAUGAUCAUUGUAUGAUAUUAAAAAACUCGCAUGUAUAAUUCCAAAAGUGUCAAUAAAGUACCUUAAAAUUUAUUUAUUUAUUAAUAAUUUAUUCUCAUUCUUAUUUGUUGUUUUAGGUAACGAAAGUAUAUGCAUUGCACAGUAAAAUGCAAUAAAGUUCUUAUAAAUGGAAUCUGGUAUGUCUUUAAAUAUUAAUAUCCCUGUAUAUAACAUUAUUUGUCUUAAUUUGCCUUAUAAUGACAAUAUUUAUUUAGUCACAAUGGUAUGCGAAAUCUGUACUCAAAAAUGGUGCUGUUGUUUUCAUACUAUUAAAUAAAAUACCUUUAGGUAUAUAUACAUAUUCAUAUACAUAUGAAGAUGGCAAUGAAGAUUUAAAAUUGUUUUCUUCCGAUGAAUCAUUUGUGGAUCAAAAUAAACGAAAACUGUUCCCCAAUAAACUUUUUUGUUAAAGUGAUCAGUUAGUAGUUGGAUCAAAAAAGAAAACUAAACACCUUGAAGUUUUUACUUUGCCACCUAUGCCUUUAUAUCAAUCUAGUAAGUUUUAAUGUGUGUUGCUUAAAAAUAACCAGGAUUUGUAAUGGAAAAAUGCAUAAAUAAUUUCAAUUUAAAAAUAUGGAAUGAGCGCAUUUAUGUUCCAAAUCCUGUUUAGAUUUUCUGAUUAAUUAGUUAAUUCAUUUGAAAUGUGUACAGCUCAGAAAAAUGAAAUGCCUAUUAAAUCAACACCACCACACAAUGAGGUAAUAAUAAAUAACUUGAAUGUUUCACUUUCAUUGUUAAGUGAUCAGGACAGUAAUAAUUUUUCGACUACAUUUGUAAAAAAUAUAAGUUACUCGAAUAAAUCCUCAAAUCACCAAAUGAUAGGUACUUUAUUUUAUUUUUUUUUAUUUUUUUGAACUUACUACAAUUUUUAUAAGGCUUGGGUACUGUAUUCUAUAUAAAUAUCUAAAACUUUGGAAUUGUAUACAUUUUUAAUUGGAUUUUAAUAAUUUUAUCUUGUUUUUAUUAUUUACAGCUACUUUUAAAAAUUCAUCUGAAGUAAUUAACACCAAAAAAAUUCACAACCGACUUUUGGAAUUGAUUAUGUCACUAACUUACUUAACUAUGGUACAUAUAUUAUAUGAUGUUUGAUCACUAAAUUUGUAUACUAUAAUUCAUAUAUAUUUUUAUCUAUUAAGUAGGAAUAAAAAUUAUUUCAAAAUAAAAACAAAUGUUUAAAUCAAAAUUUGAAUUUGUGUAGUCAUCAUAUUGGUCUAUUAACUAUAAUUAUUACAAAUUAGUUUCAGAUCAGUACAAAUUAAUUCAAAAUACACUGAAUAAAAUUAAAGUAGACAUUGUUGAUAUACAAAAUCAAAUUCAACAUCAAAGUUUACAAUUAAGAUUAAACACUGGAAAUGUAGAUAACUCACUUAAAUUACCAUUUGAAACAGUUUUCGAAAUUAGAUGAGUUUGAGUUGAAUCCCAAAGAUGUGAUUAAUGAAAGAAGAUGAGAUUAAUGAAAGUAGAUUGGUAAAUAUUUCAUUUAACAAAAUAGGUAAAUAGUAAAAUUGUAUAAAUAAUUAAUAUAUUCUUAUAAAAAAAUUGUCUUCUAAAAGUUAGACAUGUGAAAUAACCUUCAAAAAUGAUAUAUAAUUUAUUAAAAAAAAGUGAUGAAAAAUAAAGUAGCUGGAACAUUCAAUUUAACAGAAAAAUGAAAUAAGAAUGCAUUUGGAAAAUAUAAAACAACUCAAAUAAUACAAAGUGAGUUGAUAUAUUUUGUUUGUUAAAUAUUUUUACCUACAUUAGUAAAAUAGUUAAUAAAUAUGAGUAAUAAUAAUUAAUAAUAAUAAGUAGUAUGUUUGAUAAUGUGUUAUAGUUAUUAAUGAGUAGUAUAUCUAGUGGAAAAGCACACUCUAUAUGGCUAUGACUCAUACUGAAAUUUCAGGUUAAAUUAGAACUUUUUAUGUACAUAGGUACUAUAUUUCACAUAACUGUAUCCAUACCUGUCCAUACUUAGGAUAUCAUAUUUUCAUUAUGUAAAUGAUUUUUGAGGAAGCAACAGGUUAAUGUUAGAUUAAUGUAAUUUAAUGAAGUAUCAAUUAUAAUUAAUAUAAAUACAAUUAUCAAUAUUUAAAAAGAAAACAAAUUAGAAAACAUAAUUUUAAAUAAUAUUAAAAAUGUAUAUCUUUUUAAUCUUUAUUUGUAUUGUUUGUGAUCAUUAUAAUUACCCAGCGUCUUAGAUACUUUCUAGUUGUGGCUAUGCUAUAAUGCUAUAGUGGUGAAUUGGCUCACCAGUUAAAAUAAUUUUCAUAUAUGCAUGCCACUGAUAAUAGUUAUUAGAUUAAAGUUAAUAUUGGGUAUUUUUCUGUAAAAUAAUUAUUCACUUCUAUAUUUUUCAGAUGUAAUCUAUUCUUUACAAGGUAUAACAGAAGUUGAAUAAUUGAAUUUUUAGGACUAUGGUUGUGUCAAGCCAGUAACUGUGGGACUAACUAAUAUAUCAUUAUUUUUAUCAAUAUUUAGGGAUGAACACUAUAUCUACUUACUAUAUCUACUUAGAGACUGGUUUAGUUGUG